GGAAAAGGAGAGAGAAAAAAGAGAAAGAAGAAGAAGAGAAGGAGAGGAAGAAGAAAGGAAAGAAGGGAGAGGAAGAUGGAACCAAGAAUAGAGAGAGAGGAGAGAAGAGAACGACGGAAGCGGCUGGAAAAGUCACCGUCGGCGAGAAAAUUCCGGUGAUCGGAAAAAGCAAAGGGAGAUUGAGCAAAUGGGAGAUAUAGGGCAGGUGUGGGGUUGGGGCUAUGGAGGUGCGGGACAGCUUGGUUUGGGUUCCCGGAUACGUGUGGUCUCCUCUCCUCAUCCUAUACCGUGCAUUGAGUGCUCCUCUUAAAUGAAAGAUAGAUCUGCCGCCUUUUCUUGGGGAAGCAUGUGUUCUGAGGGACCAGAUUUUAGAGUUCCUGGAAAUUAUGUGAAGGCAAUUGCUUGUGGAGGGUGACAUCAUGUAGUAAUCACAGGAAAUUCUGGGCAAGGUUAUACUCUUCAUGUCGUUAGUGUAGCUGCUGGUGAGGUUGUGAAAAUGCAAGAGUACUUUUUUGGUAAAGCACAAUUUGGAAUGGAAGAUGGUAUGCAUGAUGGUUUUUGUUGUUAGAAUUUUUUGAAUGAUUGGAAGGUAUUAACUAUUACUCAUAGUUAAUUUUCCAAUCAUCUAGGUAUUAUAAUGUAAAAAUGAUAGGUGCAUAUUUGUUGGGCAUAUAUAAAACUUUUUGUAUAUGAAGGUUUAUAUGUUACAAAAUGUAAUAUGAUAUAUGAAGCAUAUUAGAUUUUAUGGAUGUAAAGGAUG
Molecule: long non-coding RNA, 760 nt
Organism: Pistacia vera
Lineage: Eukaryota; Viridiplantae; Streptophyta; Magnoliopsida; Sapindales; Anacardiaceae
Exons: 4
Source: RefSeq, a predicted model, not a curated record